Molecule: long non-coding RNA, 774 nt
Organism: Daphnia magna
Lineage: Eukaryota; Metazoa; Arthropoda; Branchiopoda; Diplostraca; Daphniidae
Exons: 4
Source: RefSeq, a predicted model, not a curated record
CUCUUGAUUCCACGAAGAUUAAAACGUGGAGAAUGACACAAAUCAAACCCAAAACCACGUCCCAUGAAAGUACCAAAUUCAAAUUACUUAAAUUGAGGGUGCAGGCGUAAAUGGAUCGAUAGCCCAUCCAGAACGGACUGUUUUCUUGUACCAUUCGUAACGAAUUAUAGACACGUAACGAUCUAUAGCUGCCAACAGCAGACACUGCAGGAGGAUUGAGUAAUCCAUCGGAUAAAGUAAAACUAGAAUUUGACACAACUGUUGAUCACGAUAGAGGACGACAGUCAAUUCCAGUGCGUAUUCAAGCAAGAAGAGACACUCGAAGAACGAAAUGGCAACCCAGAAGAUGUGACGCGGAUAACGUAACUGUCUGGAACUGCUCACUACUAAGACGACGGUGCAAUUCAAUAAAAUCCCCACAGCGAUGAUCAAAGUGCGAUAGAAUUCCUGCGUGAUUGAGAAGUUUUGUUCCAUGAUCUGGUAUUCGAGCAAAUUGAGCGAUACAUUUGUUGCAGGCUUCUAUAUAACCACUUGUUACCUCACUGGCGAUGAAUUCUUCCCGCAUGCGCGGCAAUUAUUCGAAUAUAGCGACUGUCGAACUUUUCCAUUACAGUAAUAAGAGAUUGUACAGCACACCCUCGAGAACACACGAAUUGUCAAUAACGGCUCCGUGGUGAGAUGAUUAAACGCAGCAGUCAGCCUGAUCUACUUAUUGAUAGCUCUCGCAAAAUGAAACAGAACUUUGCAUCUCAAAUGCUAUUACGAACUGACGUG